This 452-nucleotide ribosomal RNA is filed under the name uncultured bacterium. RNAcentral describes it as "bacterial SSU rRNA". It matches the Rfam family "Bacterial small subunit ribosomal RNA", at positions 29 to 526 of the family's 1533-position model. The record is from RNAcentral.
AGCGAACGCUGGCGGCAGGCCUAACACAUGCAAGUCGAGCGCCGUAGCAAUACGGAGCGGCAGACGGGAGAGUAACACGUGGGAACGUACCCUUCAGUACGGAACAACCAAGGGAAACUUUGGCUAAUACCGUAUACGUCCGUAAGGAGAAAGAUUUAUCGCUGAAGGAUCGGCCCGCGUCUGAUUAGCUAGUUGGUGAGGUAACGGCUCACCAAGGCGACGAUCAGUAGCUGGUCUGAGAGGAUGAUCAGCCUCACUGGGACUGAGACACGGCCCAGACUCCUACGGGAGGCAGCAGUGGGGAAUAUUGGACAAUGGGCGCAAGCCUGAUCCAGCCAUGCCGCGUGGGUGAUGAAGGCCCUAGGGUUGUAAAGCCCUUUCGGCGGGGAAGAUAAUGACGGUACCCGCAGAAGAAGCCCCGGCUAACUUCGUGCCAGCCGCCGCCGUAACAC